UCCAAGGGGUCUAACACGUGUGCGAGUCAGGGGCUCACACGAAAGCCAUUGUGGCGCAAUGAAGGUGAAGGCUGAUGCACUGGCUGGCUGAGGUGGGAUCCUGAGGCCUCUCCAGUUUGCCAAGGGUGCACCACCGUCUGCUCUCGCCCACUGCACUGGGCAGGUGGAGCAUGAGCACUUGUGUUAGGCACCAAAAGAUGGUAAAUUAUGCCUGGGCAGGGCGAAGCGAGAGGAAACUCUGGUGGGGGUCUGUAGUGGUCCUGACGUGCAAAUCGGUCAUCUGAUCUGGGUAUAGGGGCAAAAGGCUAAUCCAACCAUCUAGUAGCUGGUUCCCUCUGAAGUUUUCCUAAGGAUAGCUGGCGCUCCCGCAAAAACCCCAUGCCACGCAGUUAUUUGGUAAAGCGAAUGAUUAGGGGUCUUGGAGUCGAAAUGAUCUCAACCAAUUCUCAAACUUUAAAUGGGUUAGAAGCCCAGCUCAAUGGCAUGGAGCCAGGUAUGGAAUGCGAGUGCCUAGCGGGCAACUUUUGGUAAGCAGAACUGCUGCUGUGGGAUGAACCAAAUGCCAUGUUAAGGUGCCUGAUGCUAAUGCCCAUUAGACCCCAGAAAAUGUGUUGGUUAAUAUAGACAGCAGGACGGUGGCCACGGAAGUCAGAAUCCGCUAAGGAGUGUUCAACAACAAAGAAUCAACUCGCCCUGAAAAGUGGAUGGUACUGAAACUUUGGGCCCAUACCCGGCCAUUGCCAGCAGUUCAGAGCGGAUGGGAGUGGUGAGGGUGGUUGCUCCCGCUGGAGCCCCGAGGAUGCUAUGCUGCUAUGAGUGGGAGGACCGCUGCGGUGAGCCUUGAAGCCUUGGGCGUGAGCCUGGGUGGAGCUGCCCCAGGUGCAGAUCUUGGUGGUAGUAGCAAAUAUUCAAAUGAGAACUUUGAAGGCUGAAGUGGAGAAGGGUUCCAGUUGAAGAUGGGUCACGGUCCCUAGAGAUAGGCGAGUGCCAUUCUGAAGGGAUGGAUGAUGACUUCCAUUGCCCUCAGCCAAUGGAAAGGGAGUCAAGUUCAGAUUUCUGAAUCCAGAGUGGGAGAGAUGGGCACCAUGAGGCAUUCAGGGAGGUAAUGGAAGUGAUCCUGGAGAAGGUGGUGGGAGCCCAGGGGAGAGUUCUUUUUGUGAAGAGCAGGGCGCCCUGUAGUGGAUUCACCCUUAGAGAGGGGUCUGUGCCUUGAAAAGAAUCGUAGUUCAUGCGGCACCUGGUGACCUCUCACAGGCCCUUGAAAAUCUGGGGGAGAGGGUGUAAAUCUCACACCAGGCUGUAACCAUAUCCACAGGUCUCCAAGGUAAACAGCCUCUGGCA
Molecule: non-coding RNA, 1341 nt
Filed under: Nomascus leucogenys (northern white-cheeked gibbon)
Lineage: Eukaryota; Metazoa; Chordata; Mammalia; Primates; Hylobatidae
Description: Eukaryotic large subunit ribosomal RNA
Rfam family: Eukaryotic large subunit ribosomal RNA
Source: Rfam by way of RNAcentral